RNAcentral lists this long non-coding RNA (435 nucleotides) under Rattus norvegicus (Norway rat). RNAcentral describes it as "long non-coding RNA NONRATT027229". Lineage: Eukaryota; Metazoa; Chordata; Mammalia; Rodentia; Muridae. The record is from RNAcentral.
AUGCACCAGGAAGUCCGAGUGCUCACGGGCCGAGGAAGCUGGACACUGGCUAUGGAGCCGGGAGAAGUCCUGCGUGACCAUCACUGAUGCUUUUCCACAGAACAUGAGCCGGCGGGCCCAAGGAGAGGUACGACUAUCUGUCAGCCCCCUACCCACUCUGGCUAAGGAGGAUGAGUUGCUUUGCCUCUUCGGUGAAUCGCCACCCCACUCUGCCCGGGUAGAGGAUGAUGCUGUCAUCUGUAACUCACCAAGCAGCAUCCCUAGCACCCCACCAGGCCAAGGUGAGACGACCUCCUUCCGCCCCUGGACCUGCACAGCUUCCUUUUUCCUGCACACAGCUUUUCCUAGGCCCUAUCUACUCUCACAUUUUUAGAACAUUGAGCGCCAUGCAUGAGCCAAUCCUGGGUGGCUGCUGCUAUUGUUGGGGAAGCCAAA